RNAcentral lists this ribosomal RNA (116 nucleotides) under Vibrio vulnificus. The record is from RNAcentral. Lineage: Bacteria; Pseudomonadati; Pseudomonadota; Gammaproteobacteria; Vibrionales; Vibrionaceae. RNAcentral also lists the same sequence under 1 other name.
CUUGGCGACCAUAGCGUUUUGGACCCACCUGAACCCAUUCCGAACUCAGAAGUGAAACGAAAUAGCGUCGAUGGUAGUGUGGGGCUUCCCCAUGUGAGAGUAGAACAUCGCCAGGC